ACGUAGGGGGCAAGCGUUGUCCGGAAUGAUUGGGCGUAAAGGGCGCGUAGGCGGCCUGGUAAGUCUGGAGUGAAAGUCCUGCUUUUAAGGUGGGAAUUGCUUUGGAUACUGUCGGGCUUGAGUGCAGGAGAGGUAAGUGGAAUUCCCGGUGUAGCGGUGGAAUGCGUAGAGUUCGGGAGGAGCACCAGGGGCGAAGUGAAGUUACUGGACUAUAACUGACGCUGAGGCGCGAAAGUGUGGGGAGCAAACAG
RNAcentral lists this ribosomal RNA (251 nucleotides) under uncultured prokaryote. RNAcentral's name for it is "partial 16S rRNA". It matches the Rfam family "Bacterial small subunit ribosomal RNA", at positions 525 to 775 of the family's 1533-position model. The record is from RNAcentral.